Molecule: ribosomal RNA, 231 nt
Filed under: uncultured bacterium
Lineage: Bacteria
Description: partial 16S ribosomal RNA
Rfam family: Bacterial small subunit ribosomal RNA
Source: RNAcentral
GACGAACGCUGGCGGCGUGCUUAACACAUGCAAGUCGAGCGGUAAGGCCCUUUCGGGGGUACACGAGCGGCGAACGGGUGAGUAACACGUGGGUGACCUGCCCUCAGCUCUGGGAUAAGCCUGGGAAACUGGGUCUAAUACUGGAUAUGACUCCACGGUGCAUGUCGUGGGGUGGAAAGCCUUGUGCGGCUGAGGAUGGGCCCGCGGCCUAUCAGCUUGUUGGGGGGUGAU